UUCGCAAUGCCCGAAAGGGUGACGAAGCGACGCCGCGUGAGCGAAGAAGGCCUUAGGGUUGUAAAGCUCUGUCAGGGGUUAUGAAAUGUAAAUGGGCUAAUACCUCAUUUAUUUGACAAAGGCCCCAAAGGAAGCCACGGCUAACUCUGUGCCAGCAGCCGCGGUAAUACAGAGGUGGCAAGCGUUGUUCGGUAUUAUUGGGCGUAAAGAGCACGUAGGUUGUUUUGUAAGUCAGGUGUGAAAGCCUUCUGUUCAAAGGAAGAACGGCAUCUGAAACUGCAGAUCUUGAGUAUAGGAGGGGAGAGUGGAACUUCUGGUGGAGCGGUGAAAUGCGUAGAUAUCAGAAGGAACGUCGGCGGCGAAAGCGACUCUCUGGCCUAUUACUGACACUGAGGUGCGAAAGUUAGGGGAGCAAACGGGAUUAGAUACCCCGGUAGUCCUAACCGUAAACGAUGGGCACUAAGUAGAGGGGUUUU
RNAcentral lists this ribosomal RNA (476 nucleotides) under Candidatus Scalindua wagneri. RNAcentral's name for it is "bacterial SSU rRNA". It matches the Rfam family "Bacterial small subunit ribosomal RNA", at positions 365 to 832 of the family's 1533-position model. Lineage: Bacteria; Pseudomonadati; Planctomycetota; Candidatus Brocadiia; Candidatus Brocadiales; Candidatus Scalinduaceae. The record is from RNAcentral.